Molecule: ribosomal RNA, 254 nt
Filed under: uncultured bacterium
Lineage: Bacteria
Description: partial 16S ribosomal RNA
Rfam family: Bacterial small subunit ribosomal RNA
Source: RNAcentral
UACGAAGGGGGCGAGCGUUGUUCGGAGUUACUGGGCGUAAAGGGCGCGUAGGCGGUCGUGACAAGUCACUUGUGAAAUCUCCGGGCUUAACUCGGAACGGUCAAGUGAUACUGUCGGACUAGAGUACAGAAGGGGCAACUGGAAUUCUCGGUGUAGCGGUGAAAUGCGUAGAUAUCGAGAGGAACACCGGUGGCGAAGGCGGGUCUCUGGGACGUGACUGACGCUGAGGAGCGAAAGCAUGGGGAGCGAACAGG